CGUCCGACCCGGCCUACUGGGAUAUCUCUUAUUCAGCUUAAAAUAUCAACACAACGCGUAUCAACAGAGCAGCCUUAACCCGUCUUCAAAAUAACAAUGGAACAAUAAAAACUCAACCCAUAUCCAAUGAAUCCCAAACCAACCCGUGACCAACAACCGAUUUCAACCCGUUUCUUUUUCCUCUUGGUCAUCAUGCGCUUUCCAUGCGGUUCAGUACUGAUAAGGACAUGAAAAUGCCGAGUUGGCAGCUAGGGCAUGUUUCAAAUGAUUAUUUCAUAAAAAUCGCUUGAAUCCAUUGGGAAUUUGUUUGAUUUGGUACUAUGAAGGUACAUAUGUGCUAAUUUUUAAUUGGGGGAAAAAGAAUUUUGUUUUCUUCUCAAGAUUUCAAAAUUCAAAAUUCCUUCUAGAAUUCCAAAUUGAGUACAUGAAUAUGUGAAAAUUGUUGUUAUCAUCCAAAAAAUUCAAAAUACCUCGUUGGAGAAAAUUCCAAAAUUACCCACCCUAAAUACCCUAAUCCCAACGUUCAAAGCUGAAGGGGGAUUCUCAAUUCUCUCCUAUAAAAAAGGUUUGGCUGUCCGUAAAGGGUUUUUUUUUGGGGAAAAAUUGCUUUGAAAAAAAAUCUGAGAGCUUCGACAACUUUCAAAAAGGGAAAUAUAGUUCUGUAGUACAAAUUCUUCUUUUUAAGAGAGGUAGACGACUGUUCGGAGAUUUUGGAGACACAGCAAUGUCCUCCGGUGGUAAUCGAGAUUCCAUCAAAAGUUCGAGUCCUGUUUUGCUGCCCUGAGAAAGGUACAUUCAAGGGAGUCGACACAAUAAAUACAACAAUCAAAAGGAUCACUCAAUAGGAGGAAGAGCAGAAAGUCAUCUUGAAAAUUUGUCUUGGAGCGAAGCAAAUGGUAUUUGAGUAAUCUUCAAACAAGAACUUUGCCCCAUUUACUUGUAUCCAAUGGAUUUGCUAUUUAAUUAUUUCUUCAAAAAGAUAUGAUUAAUAAUAGAAUAAGUCAUUCAAA
Long non-coding RNA from Capsicum annuum, 1010 nucleotides. RefSeq lists it as uncharacterized. The record is from RefSeq and is a predicted model, not a curated record. Lineage: Eukaryota; Viridiplantae; Streptophyta; Magnoliopsida; Solanales; Solanaceae. The transcript is spliced from 2 exons.